This 27-nucleotide transfer RNA is filed under the name Echinorhinus cookei (prickly shark). Its description in RNAcentral is "partial tRNA-Leu". Lineage: Eukaryota; Metazoa; Chordata; Chondrichthyes; Echinorhiniformes; Echinorhinidae. The record is from RNAcentral.
GCCCUUGAAGGAUAACAGACAUCCAUU